AUUCCAAAAAUGAUGGGUGCAUUCUGGAUAACAUUCACAUUCUGGGUGGGCAGAACACAUUCCUGUGUGGUCACCGAGCACACCCGCGUGGUUUCGGAAGGGUCCGACGUCCAUCUGUUUUGCAACAUCUCCUCGUGUCCACGGUUACGAGGUCAGAGUGCCAGUUUGGAAUGGGAGUUUAACCAAACAUCGGUUCCCAUCUUCCAUUAUGCAAACAGAAGUGUGAUAAGGUGGCCAAAUGUCAAGUUUAUGGGCAACAUUGCAGCAGGUGACUUCUCCAUCAUCCUGAGCUCCGUGACGUACGAACGGAGUGGCACGUACCUCUGUCGCUUCCGUCCACCGCACAGCCCUGUCAUCUACAAGAACUACACUCAGCUCACUGUGAUCUACAGGAGAUCAGGUGGACAUGCAGGACAUGAACUCUCCCAAAACAGAUCGCAAGCAGAUGCCUCUGACAACAUAGUGGCCCCAUCUCCCUGGCUGCUGUCGAUGUACUGCUACAUUGUGGGACUGCUGCUGGUAGUUGUCACUGGGUGGGCACUGGCCUGGUGGUUCCGAUGGAGAAGGGCACUGGCUAAAAACGGUGUGCAGAGGAAGGAUGAGAGGAUGACGAUCCACAAAGGAGAUCCACAGCCUCCCCAUGGAAACCAGGACACCUAUGUGACACUUCAGAGAUGCAAGAACCCACCUCCCCCUUCUCCCCAACGGGAGGGCAUCUAUGUAACUAUGAGAACCCCCGGAGCCGUGGAUCCCACAGUGCAGUCGGGCCGCAGCAGGAAGGGCAUUCCCCUCGAGUGGUAUGCCCGGACAGACGUAACCCUUCCAGGAAAAAUAAGCUCCGGAUAACUGGACAACAGAUGAUGUAGUCCUGCAUCAAAAAUGACUUCUUCUUCCAUGCCUGCAUGUAUCAGGCCAGAAUGCGUUACUGCACCAGACGUAAAGAUAAUUUUCUUUCCUAUUAUCUCUUCCGAAGGAGUUUAAUGUCAAAAUUAUCUCCGUUUUGGAUCCACCUACUUUUUCAUUUGUCAGCGUCACUGUAUAAAGUGAAAUACGGACAUUAACCUGUUUUUCUAGCAAUUCACUGAUGCUGGUUUGUCAGAACUGCAGCUGCCGCUGUUUCAGGGGAAAUGACUGAUUAAGUGACCUUUGACAUUCAGAUGUCCGUUAAUCGCUCUGCCCUUAAUCCUGUGUCUUUUCUUUCUUAUCUCUUUGCUAAAAGCUUCCUGAUCCCAUUGUGUGAAAACAUCAUUGUUGUUCCUUUCUGUUAUUUUCUAAUUUUUUCAUACUACCUAAAUACUUUGCUUUUGUGAUUUUUUUUUUUUUUUUUUUUUUUUCUCACUCAUUAUUUUUAAUCAAAAAAAUAUUUAUUCUGCCUGCUAGAUUUUCUUUUUUCUUUCUUUUUUUUCUUUUCUUUUUUUUGUUUAGCAUCUACGACCACUGGGAUUUCUCAUGAACCUCUGAUCCUCUUUUGGAAAGAAUUAUUUGUAUGUUCUUAAAGGCACAGCCUAGAGGUUCCUGGAGCAGCCAAACACAGUACUUAAGUAAAAGUGCUGGGCCUUUCAAAAAAUAAUUAAUCGAGUAAAAGUAGUCAUCCAAAAAAUCUGCUUAAGUGAAAAAGAAUCAGGUUGAAAAAAUACAGUUACCCAAGAUGCUUUGACUCAAAUGAAACUUUUAACUUGACUUUUCAGUAAAUUUAAAUCUGUUGUGUAAAAGGAUUGCAUGUUAUCUAGACUAAUCAAAUCAAUAUAAACAAAUAAAACAAAAGACCAGAGUCA
This 1775-nucleotide long non-coding RNA is filed under the name Scleropages formosus (Asian bonytongue). RNAcentral's name for it is "lncRNA (ENSSFOG00015029253.1)". Lineage: Eukaryota; Metazoa; Chordata; Actinopteri; Osteoglossiformes; Osteoglossidae. The record is from RNAcentral.